This 216-nucleotide ribosomal RNA is filed under the name Glomeromycotina sp. Its description in RNAcentral is "partial small subunit ribosomal RNA". The stretch from base 40 to 216 matches the Rfam family "Eukaryotic small subunit ribosomal RNA", at positions 686 to 864 of the family's 1831-position model. Lineage: Eukaryota; Fungi; Glomeromycota. The record is from RNAcentral.
GGGUCAGUAGGUUGGUCGUGCCCCCGGUACGUACUGGUCUCACUGAUUCCUCCUUCCUGAAGAACCGUAAUGCCAUUAAUUUGGUGUUGCGGGGAAACAGGACUGUUACUUUGAAUAAAUUAUAGUGUUUAAAGCAAGCUAACGCUUGAAUACAUUAGCAUGGAAUAAUGAAAUAGGACGAUCGAUCCUAUUUUGUUGGUUUCUAGGAUUGACGUA